This 836-nucleotide ribosomal RNA is filed under the name uncultured bacterium. RNAcentral describes it as "bacterial SSU rRNA". It matches the Rfam family "Bacterial small subunit ribosomal RNA", at positions 8 to 831 of the family's 1533-position model. The record is from RNAcentral.
AGAGUUUGAUCCUGGCUCAGGAUGAACGCUGGCGGCGUGCCUAACACAUGCAAGUCGAACGGGGCGCGCAGGCUGAGGCUUUUCGGAGCGGAAGCCGGCGCUGUCCAGUGGCGGACGGGUGAGUAACGCGUGGGCAACCUGCCCUGCACUGGGGGACAACAGCCGGAAACGGCUGCUAAUACCGCAUAUGCCCGCAGCCCCGCAUGGGGCGGCGGGGGAAGCUCCGGCGGUGCAGGAUGGGCCCGCGUCUGAUUAGCUGGUUGGCGGGGCAACGGCCCACCAAGGCGACGAUCAGUAGCCGGCCUGAGAGGGUGGGCGGCCACAUUGGGACUGAGACACGGACCAGACUCCUACGGGAGGCAGCAGUGGGGGAUAUUGCACAAUGGGGGGAACCCUGAUGCAGCGACGCCGCGUGGGCGAUGGAGUGCUUCGGCAUGUAAAGCCCUAUCAGCAGGGAAGAAAAUGACGGUACCUGACUAAGAAGCCCCGGCUAAAUACGUGCCAGCAGCCGCGGUAAUACGUAUGGGGCAAGCGUUAUCCGGAUUUACUGGGUGUAAAGGGAGCGUAGGCGGCCUGGCAAGCCUGAUGUGAAAUACCGGGGCCCAACCCCGGGGGCUGCAUUGGGAACUGCCAGGCUGGAGUGCCGGAGAGGCAGGGCGGAAAUUCCUAGUGUAGCGGUGAAAUGCGUAAAUAUUAGGAAGGAACACCAGUGGGCGAAGGCGGCCUGCUGGACGGUGACUGACCCCUGAAGGCUCGAAAGCGUGGGGAGCCAAACAGGAUUUAGAUACCCUGGUAGUCCCACGCCCGUAAACGAUGAAUACUAGGGUGUCCGGGGG